Molecule: transfer RNA, 64 nt
Filed under: Tuxedo susansolomonae
Lineage: Eukaryota; Metazoa; Arthropoda; Insecta; Hemiptera; Miridae
Also listed under: 1 other name
Description: tRNA-Tyr
Source: RNAcentral
GAUAAGGUGGCUGAAUUUUAGGUUGUAAAUUGUAAAUUUGCUUAUGAGUAAUACUCCCUUGUCA